RNAcentral lists this ribosomal RNA (253 nucleotides) under uncultured bacterium. Its description in RNAcentral is "partial 16S ribosomal RNA". It matches the Rfam family "Bacterial small subunit ribosomal RNA", at positions 524 to 776 of the family's 1533-position model. The record is from RNAcentral.
UACGGGGGGGGCAAGCGUUGUUCGGAAUUACUGGGCGUAAAGGGCGCGUAGGUGGCCAACUAAGUCAGACGUGAAAUCCCUCGGCUUAACCGGGGAACUGCGUCUGAUACUGGAUGGCUUGAGUGUGGGAGAGGGAUGCGGAAUUCCAGGUGUAGCGGUGAAAUGCGUAGAUAUCUGGAGGAACACCGGUGGCGAAGGCGGCAUCCUGGACCACGACUGACACUGAAACGCGAAAGCCAGGGGAGCAAACGGG